RNAcentral lists this long non-coding RNA (193 nucleotides) under Gorilla gorilla gorilla (western lowland gorilla). RNAcentral describes it as "lncRNA (ENSGGOG00000044519.1)". The record is from RNAcentral. Lineage: Eukaryota; Metazoa; Chordata; Mammalia; Primates; Hominidae.
UGUCAGAGGUUUCACAGUACUACCCCAUAGCACCAGUAGAUGGCAGACUCGCAUUAUAGUCUGAAAUUGAUACCACACUGUGAUACCAGUCACAUUGUCAAGACCUAUAGGAAGAAAAUCUGAACCAGAAACAGUAUGGCAGAAUUGGGAUCUGACUCACAGAGGGAAGAACUUAUAAUUCUUCACAGGGCAC